RNAcentral lists this ribosomal RNA (419 nucleotides) under Micrococcus sp. R-23270. Its description in RNAcentral is "bacterial SSU rRNA". It matches the Rfam family "Bacterial small subunit ribosomal RNA", at positions 28 to 447 of the family's 1533-position model. Lineage: Bacteria; Bacillati; Actinomycetota; Actinomycetes; Micrococcales; Micrococcaceae. The record is from RNAcentral.
GAUGAACGCUGGCGGCGUGCUUAACACAUGCAAGUCGAACGAUGAAGCCCAGCUUGCUGGGUGGAUUAGUGGCGAACGGGUGAGUAACACGUGAGUAACCUGCCCUUAACUCUGGGAUAAGCCUGGGAAACUGGGUCUAAUACCGGAUAGGAGCGUCCACCGCAUGGUGGGUGUUGGAAAGAUUUAUCGGUUUUGGAUGGACUCGCGGCCUAUCAGCUUGUUGGUGAGGUAAUGGCUCACCAAGGCGACGACGGGUAGCCGGCCUGAGAGGGUGACCGGCCACACUGGGACUGAGACACGGCCCAGACUCCUACGGGAGGCAGCAGUGGGGAAUAUUGCACAAUGGGCGCAAGCCUGAUGCAGCGACGCCGCGUGAGGGAUGACGGCCUUCGGGUUGUAAACCUCUUUCAGUAGGGAAG